AGUGUAUAUCUAUGUUGCUGUGGUUAAAAAGCUCGUAGUUGGAUCUGCGUGUUUAGCGUCCGGUUCAACUUUUCGGUUGCUACUGGAACGCGACACAGAUGUGCUGGUUUGGUGUUGAUGCUCUUAAUCGGGUGUCAGCGCCGGCUAGCGAGUUUACUUUGAAAAAAUUAGAGUGCUCAAAACAGGCGUUUCGCCUGAAUAUUUCUGCAUGGAAUAAUAGAAUAGGACUUCGAUUCUAUUCUGUUGGUUUUCGGAAUGCGAAGUAAUGAUUAAGAGGGACAGACGGGGGCAUUCGUACUGCGACGUUAGAGGUGAAAUUCUUGGACCGUCGCAAGACGAACUAAGG
Molecule: ribosomal RNA, 346 nt
Filed under: uncultured eukaryote
Lineage: Eukaryota
Description: bacterial SSU rRNA
Rfam family: Eukaryotic small subunit ribosomal RNA
Source: RNAcentral